AGCAGUGGAAUGGAGUCAACCAGAGUGCAUAGUUAGAGAUGUGACCCAAGCCAUUUGGAGGAGACCAGAAACUGGAACAAGAAGCUGUAAUGUUGAAGUUGUCUUGGAGACCCCAAGAUGUUCGAGGUGCCAGGGCUGUGGUAUACCUGCUGAGGAAAGCUGCUAACAGCAAGUGGAACCAUCCAAAGAGAACUGUGCUGCAGUCAACAAAGCAGAAAGGAGUUGGACAUUAGACACGGAGGUGAUGAGUUUGGAGUUUGUCCAGCUGAAUUUUGGUCUUGCUUUGGUCUAUUAUUUCCUCAUAUGAAGUUUUGAAAUGGUAAUGUAUAUCAUGUGAUGUUGGAGCUUGGACCCCCAAGUGGAGCAUGCCUCCAUUGUUUGUGAGUUCUGUCUCAGCUCAGAGUGGAUGGGCGCACAGUUCCAGGGGAGCAAGGAUGUGUGCAACAGAAACUAGUGUUAGCCACACUUGUUCAUCUAGGUGGAUCAUCUCCAGAGACUGAAGAUAUCAGCAGGGCCUAGGAUAUCUGGGCGGCUCCUUCUCCUUCUGCUCCCAGCCCCAAAUCUAACCCUUCAAUAAGGU
Molecule: long non-coding RNA, 580 nt
Filed under: Mus musculus (house mouse)
Lineage: Eukaryota; Metazoa; Chordata; Mammalia; Rodentia; Muridae
Description: RIKEN cDNA 9330111N05 gene
Source: RNAcentral